GUGGCACGAUCUCGGCUCACUGCAAGCUCUGCCUCCCGGGUUCACACCAUUCUCCUGCCUCAGCCUCCCGAGUAGCUGGGACUACAGGUGCCCGCCACCUUGUGCCCGGCUAAUUUUUUUUGUAUUUUUAGUAGAGACGAGUUUCACCGUAUUAGCCAGGAUGGUCAUGUUUUUGUUCUUGUUUUUGUUUUAGAGACAGGGUCUCCCUCUGUCACCCAGGCUGGAGUGCAGUUGCACAAUCACAGCUCACUACAGCGUCAACCUUCCAGGUUGAGGAUCACUCAAUACUCAUGCCUCAGCCUCCCAUGUAGCUGGGGCUACAGGGGCACACCACCACUCCUGACCCAUUUUUUAAAAAUUUUUUUGUAUAGGUGGGGUCUCACCAUGUUGCCCAGGCUAGCCUCGAACUCCUGGGCUCAAGCAAUCCUCUCACCUUGGCCUCUCAAAGUGCUGAGAUUAUAGGUGUGACCCGCCGUGCCCGCCUUUCCUCUGAGUUUUGUUGCAUUCAGGCAGCUCCUGGCUGAGGCAAAACAUUAAAAUGCAUAUGGAAAUGCAGGCUGGGAAAAUGCUUUGAAACCAAUGCAAUUUCUAUGUUAAGGGGACAUUCCCUGAUUCUUUCAGGUAAUUUGCAUUCUAGACUGUGACAUUCUGUAUCUCAACUGAUAAAUAAGCCUGUUUGUCAUCCUGCUAGAUGAGAACCUGAUAUAUGAAACCUUUUUUUUUAACGUGGUUAAAAAAAAACAUAAAAUUUACCAUCAUAAUUAUUUUUAAAUGUACCAUUUGGCAGCAUUAAGUAUAUUUAAACUCUUGUGAAACAAAUUUCUAGAAUGUUUUCAUCUUGCAAAACCGAAACGCUGUAUCUAUUAAACAACUCCCCUUUUCUCCCUCUCUUCAACCCUGGUAACCAUGUUUUUAUGAAUUUGACUACUUUAGAUACCUCAUAUAAGUCAGGUCAUACAGUAUUUGUCUCUUUGUGACUGGCUUCACUUAGCAUAAUGUCCUCAAAGUUUAACUGUGUUGUAGCAUGUAUCAGAAUUUUAUGAAAUAUGAAGUCUUAGACACCCCAAAGUACAUUUUCACCCCAAAUGUAUUUGAACAGUGUUAGGCUGGGGGUGGGAGGCGGGAGUCCUUCUUGCUUUGCCUGUGCAAUGAAAUGAAUACCCUGCUGUGUUUAUCUCCUUGUCAUGUGAUUCUCCCAGGUUGUUUCUUCAAGUUUCUGAGCCAAACUUAACUCUAAAAAGCAAAUAUUCUGUGUUAAAAGACAGUAAUCAACACGGGAGCUACAUCAGACAUCAUAGGACAAAUUGUCAUCUAGAAGAGUAUAUUUUUAAUGCAGGAGAGUUUUUAAAACCCAGAUUGGUGUGAUUUCAUUCCAGAGAGCUCAGACAUAUGCUCAGCAAGUCUUGCAGAAGGAAUGUCGUCCCAAGUUUGCCAAGACAUCAAUGGCGCUGUUAUUUGAGCACAGGUAUAGCGUGGACUUACUCCCUUUUGUGCAGAAGGCCCCCAAAGACAGUGAAGCUGAGUCCAAGUACGAUCCUCCUUUUGGGUUCCGGAAGUUCUCCAGUAAAGUCCAGACCCUCUUGGAACUCUUGCCAGAGCACGACCUCCCUGAACACUUGAAAGCCAAGACCUGUCGGCGCUGUGUGGUUAUUGGAAGCGGAGGAAUACUGCACGGAUUAGAACUGGGCCACACCCUGAACCAGUUCGAUGUUGUGAUAAGAACUCAGUGCACUGCUCUUGGUCAGUGUGGCUCCAGGAACAGUGAGGGACGCAGGAAGCUCUUCACAGUCCCUGCCCACAAGGGACUUAACGUUUGAGAAGUUGAAACAAAAACACAAAAUGGUUGGAUGCUCCAAACUGUCAUACUGACCCUAAGUUGGAGGAGCAUGCUGCCGGCUACAGUUAAACAGUGCACCAGUUGAGGGAUAUUCAGAACAUGUUGGAAAUAAAACUACUAUAAGGAUGACUUAUCCAGAGGGCGCACCACUGUCUGACCUUGAAUAUUAUUCCAAUGACUUAUUUGUUGCUGUUUUAUUUAAGAGUGUUGAUUUCAACUGGCUUCAAGCAAUGGUAAAAAAUGAAACCCUGCCAUUCUGGGUACGACUCUUCUUUUGGAAGCAGGUGGCAGAAAAAAUCCCACUGCAGCCAAAACAUUUCAGGAUUUUGAAUCCAGUUAUCAUCAAAGAGACUGCCUUUGACAUCCUUCAGUACUCAGAGCCUCAGUCAAGGUUCUGGGGCCGAGAUAAGAACGUCCCCACAAUCGGUGUCAUUGCCGUUGUCUUAGCCACACAUCUGUGCGAUGAAGUCAGUUUGGCGGGUUUUGGAUAUGACCUCAGUCAACCCAGAACACCUUUGCACUACUUCGACAAUCAGUGCAUGGCUGCUAUGAACUUUCAGACCAUGCAUAAUGUGACAACGGAAACCAAGUUCCUCUUAAAGCUGGUCAAAGAGGGAGUGGUGAAAGAUCUCAGCGGAGGCAUUGAUCGUGAAUUCUGAACAUAGAAAACCUCAGUUGAAAAUGCAACUCUAACUCUGAGAGCUGUUUUUGACAGCCUUCUUGAUGUAUUUCUCCAUCCUGCAGAUACUUUGAAGUGCAGCUGAAGUUUUUAACUUUUAAUUUAAAAACACACAAAAAAUUUUAGCUCUUCCCACUUUUUUUUCCCUAUUUAUUUGAGGUCAGUGUUUGUUUUUGCACACCAUUUUGUAUAUGAAACUUAAGAAUUGAAUUGGAAAGACUUCUCAAAGAGAAUUGUAUGUAACGAUGUUGUAUUGAUUUUUAAGAAAGUAAUUUAAUUUGUAAAACUUCUGUUCGUUUACACUGCACAUUGAAUACAGGUAACUAAUUGGAAGGAGAGGGGAGGUCACUCUUUUGAUGGUGGCCCUGAACCUCAUUCUGGUUCCCUGCUGCGCUGCUUGGUGUGACCCACGGAGGAUCCACUCCCAGGAUGACGUGCUCCGUAGCUAUGCUGCUGAUACAGGGUCUGCGAUACAGUGGCGUGAGGCCUGGGCUGGUCGGAGAAGGGCACAACCCUUCUCUGUUGGUCUGCCUUCUGCUGAAAGACUCAAGAACCAACCAGGGAAGCUGUCCUGGAGGUCCCUGGUCGGGGAGGGACAUAGAAUCUGUGACCUCUGACAACUGUGAAGCCACCCUGGGCUGCAGAAACCACAGUCUUCCCAGCAAUUAUUACAAUUCUUGAAUUCCUUGGGGAUUUUUUACUGCCCUUUCAAAGCACUUAAGUGUUAGAUCUAACGUGUUCCAGUGUCUGUCUGAGGUGACUUAAAAAAUCAGAACAAAACUUCUAUUAUCCAGAGUCAUGGGAGAGUACACCCUUUCCAGGAAUAAUGUUUUGGGAAACACUGAAAUGAAAUCUUCCCAGUAUUAUAAAUUGUGUAUCUAAAAAAAAGAAACUUUUCUGAAUGCCUACCUGGCGGUGUAUACCAGGCAGUGUGCCAGUUUAAAAAGAUGAAAAAGAAUAAAAACUUUUGAGGAA
This 3491-nucleotide small RNA is filed under the name Pan troglodytes (chimpanzee). RNAcentral's name for it is "processed transcript". The record is from RNAcentral. Lineage: Eukaryota; Metazoa; Chordata; Mammalia; Primates; Hominidae.